GACGAACGCUGGCGGCGUGCUUAACACAUGCGGGUCGAACGGAAAGGCCCUGCUUGUGUGGGGUGCUCGAGUGGCGAACGGGUGAGUAACACGUGAGUAACCUGCCCUUGACUUUGGGAUAACUUCAGGAAACUGGGGCUAAUACCGGAUAGGAGCUCCUGCUGCAUGGGGGGGGGUGGAAAGUUUCGGCGGUUGGGGAUGGACUCGCGGCUUAUCAGCUUGUUGGUGGGGUAGUGGCUUACCAAGGCUUUGACGGGUAGCCGGCCUGAGAGGGUGACCGGCCACAUUGGGACUGAGAUACGGCCCAGACUCCUCCGGGAGGCAGCAGUGGGGAAUAUUGCACAAUGGGCGGAAGCCUGAUGCAGCAACGCCGCGUGCGGGAUGACGGCCUUCGGGUUGUAAACCGCUUUCGCCUGUGACGAAGCGUGAGUGACGGUAAUGGGUAAAGAAGCACCGGCUAACUACGUG
This 468-nucleotide ribosomal RNA is filed under the name uncultured bacterium. Its description in RNAcentral is "partial 16S ribosomal RNA". It matches the Rfam family "Bacterial small subunit ribosomal RNA", at positions 28 to 507 of the family's 1533-position model. The record is from RNAcentral.